This is a long non-coding RNA of Amphiprion ocellaris (clown anemonefish), 8224 nucleotides long. RefSeq lists it as uncharacterized. The transcript is spliced from 3 exons. NCBI's taxonomy places the organism in Eukaryota, Metazoa, Chordata, Actinopteri, Pomacentridae. The record is from RefSeq and is a predicted model, not a curated record.
UGUUUGUCGAGCUGAUCAGUACCACAAUGAGUAAAACGGUGGUCUCAUAAUUUUAUCGCUGGAUUACGUGUUUCAAAUCCUCUCACCGUACUUGAAAAAUACGUGUUUUUUAUUUCGGCCUGCACGUUUCUUUUUACUGUCUGUAGAUGAUAUUUACAUGGAUAUAGACUUUAAGUAGUGAUGCCGACGUUUUUCGGUGAGGUCUUCUUUAUCUGGUAUCUUUAUUUCACGUAAAUCCAGGUCUGAUCGUGACGAAUCUGCGGACGAAACAUCUGGAGACGGAAACUAUCGCCAGUUAACCUGAUCACCAGUUAAACUGGAACAACGGGUCGCCAUGCAGGCUUCGUUGUACGAUGCAGAGGUGAUCCAGACUUCCCAACAUUCCUACAUUACCACUGCAUCAUUCACCAGCAGGCCAUAUGUAUGUACAAAAGUGGCCGGAUUUGAUCAUGUGAUGACUGGUGUCGUGAAGAUCAUAAAUGGCUCCAAAGCCAAACUACCAGGACAUUGAAGGUGCUGCUGGAGGAGCUGUCAGCUGAACAUAGUGAUCUGUUACUACACACAGAAACCCCAUGGAUCAGCAGGGGAACAGUUUUGCAGCGUUUUUUGUCACUGUUGGCCGAAAUCAGAGAGUUGAUGCAAUCCAAUAGGGGAAGACACCUUGCUGCUUGAGGACACGGAGUGGAUUCUUGCCCUUGCAUUUUUAACAGACAUCACUGGGAAACUGAACCAUCUGAACUGUGAGCUGCAAAGUAAAGGCAUUCCAGGGCCUGCUGCCAAGAAGAAUCCCCACAUCCGGAUGAUGCCACCACCAUGCUUCAAGAUUGAUGAAGAAGCCAUGCAUGCUGUGGAGGAGAAUCUGAAGGCUCAAGAUGUGACCUUCUUAAUGAAGAGACAGUGAAGCUUGAACAUCGGUGCAUUAAAGUUAAAGGAGACUGCUGAAAAAUAACGCAAGAACACUCUUUCUCAGGUAAGGUUUUCUUGUAAGGCUGAGAACUUUUCCAAGUACCUUCAGAAUCAGUGACCCAAAGCUUGGUUCAGGAAUCCUUGUUCAAAAUGUCUUUGUGUGGCAACCUGAGGAACCAGAUUUGAAUCAUGCUGCAAGUCUCUGGUGGGUAUCAAAGAAAUUAGGGGGAGCACUGAAACUAAAGAAUUAAAGCUGGAAACCUUUACAAAUGAGAGGUCAGAAGUUUGUGAGGAACUACUAGAAACACUCUAGUGUCUAAAUGUUUGACUGCUUAAUGGAAGUUAAUUGGCUUGAAUGUUCCGAAACUUUCCCUUGACUGAAUAGGUCAAACAUUGAGGGCCUUAAAUGUAUUUUUAAUAUCAAUUUUGAAAUCCCAGAUCCUCCUUUCAUUUACUUUUUAAAAGAAAAAUUCCAUCUGCUUAUUACCAGUCUUGUAAAACAGAGAGAAUACAUUGUAUGCACUAGAUUUCAAAAGGAGUUUUCAAGAAAUAUUCAGCGGUACCUCAAACUGCAACCCAGUAUGUUCCUCUACAACUAAAUUGCAUUUUCAAAUAUGUUUUGAAAGAAAGAUAAUUGUGUUUUCAAAUAAAUAGAAUUUGUAAAUGUGCUAUGGUGGGAAAGGGGCCAGUUUGAACAAGCAAUGCUUGGGGAAUAAACCAGCAACUGCACUUUUACAUAGAAGAGCAAAGUUCAUGUCCUGUAAUGGACAUGAUACCAUCAGUCUAAGAAUUAAGUUUUGUUGGUUUGUUGUUGUUUUUGGUUGUUCUGUUGGUCUUUACUCUCUUUCUGACUAUGUUUACCAUAAACCAACACUUAAACUAUGUGAUUCGAUUGUUGGACACUGAAAUGUUAGAGGCUUGAUUAAGGUUAGGCGCCAAAAUUUGGUUUUAGGUAAAAUGUCAUUAUCUAGGUUAAAACACAAGCCUUUCACUACAAGUUUGGAGCAUCACCUUAAUUUUCUGGAUUACCAUCGAAUAUAUGAUUGGCUGGCUGAAAGAGGCAACACUUAAGUAGUAAAAUAAAUUCAAUUAAAAAGACUUUAUUUGUCCCCUUGAGGCAAUUCAAGGCACGUAGAGCAGUUGGACACAGAACAAUAUCAACCGUACAAUAGCAGCAGUAAAAAUGGCAAUUAUACUGUAUGUUGUUUGGAAAUAUAUUUGUGAUAUAAUACAAACUAACCUAAUCCUGCAGAAAAUAUGUUUCUUUUAAAACAUAAUUUAGAAUGCAGCUUAGUUGCUUAGGAUGUAGUUUUGUGGAGACUGGGCUGCAAAGGUGGUGGAUAUUAUUAAAUAAUCUCAAUUGGGGUUGAAAAUCGGGUUUUUGAAGAAAUAUUCUCUUAUUCAUCUUUAAUACAAUCAGUAGAUUAAAUAUUAUGUACUUAGAAAAACUCCAAUAUGCUUAUUUUUGACUUCUAAACAAGCUUUUAGUUUCUAUAUUUUAUUCAUAACAGUAGAAUACUUUGCAUGUUAAGGCCAUUGUCUAAAUUUGAUUGCAACAGUCGAUAUAUUAGACAGUUAAGGGACAAAUCUCAGAGCAAGAAAAGGAACUGGAUUCAAAUACAUCUCAAAAUUUCAGUAUCAGCUUUAAAAUUCUUGUCACCAAGAAUGAAGUAAAAAUAUUACGAACACAUUUCUCUAUUAGACAAGUGACAAACUUUUUUUUAUCAGCAUCUGUUAACCUGACAAUAGUUUCUGUAUUUGCACCACAAAUGGGUGGAGGCCUAACAGAAAGGAAAUCAGCCACAGUUCCCUAUUUUCUGCUGCGCAUGUUUAGCUGGCAACAGCAAAUAAAACAGGAGUUUUUGCUUGAAGUUUUCUCUAGCGUGAAGGUGUGGGAGAAAUUUUGUUUAAGCCACAGGGACUGAUGAUACAAAUAGAAAUUUCAUGUAACCAUUACAUACAUUGCAGGGGUAUGCGGGUGUAUUAUACAUUUCGUAGCAUACAAGCUUCCUGUCAGUAAUUAACUCCGCAAAGGCGAAGCCAAAGUUGUAUCAAAGCCUGUCAUGGCUGGUUCACUUCUUGUGUGUAUUCUAGGUUUGCAUCAGCCCCAGCUGUUCUGCAUCUCCUUGAUUAAUCCCCAGCUGCUGCUCAUUGCUCCAGAGGAUUUAGGGCAGCGACUCCAGCUCCCCUUUUUUAGUUUGUCAAUUUGUCUUGUUGCGCUGACAACGGGUGCGAUAGUUUGAAUCUCCACCUUGAAAUCCCAACUUACCUUUGAAUUAUUUCCAGUGUUUGCCGCUGUGUGGUUUUUCCCCUCCCACUCAUUUUCACUUCCCCUGGUUGUGUCCACAUCCUGCCUGCCCCAUUGUCCACCAGUCUCCAGUUUGCACUCCUCAGUCACCUGCCAGCCUUUAUCACCAGCUGGUAUUCUCUUGACUCAAGCUUGCACUCUUCAGUUGCCGACAGUCUUUCCCAGCAGUGUGUUCACUCCUCUUUGCCUUCAGCCAGAAUCCCCCCCCCACCGCCCUGCUGCCUGCUGAUCUCCUGCUGCUUAGUCCCAGUUAUUCAUUGCCUUGAAAGUGACUCUGUCCCUGCAGUUGAAUCCAGUUUUUGAAAAGCCCUUUUCCAGUAAAAAUGACCAAACUGGAAAAUCAAAGAGUACAAUUUCAAACUCGCUAAAAAUGCAUUUAAAAAGGUGGCUAUGGUUAUUAUGUCACAAAUAAUUUCAUAUGUAUAAGUGUAUAUUGGGUGUUUUUUUUUUUUUUUUAGAUGAUCUCUCUGGGAAGGUGGAGGCUUUUACCGAUUGGCCGAACAUUAUAGAUUUUAUCCACUCCACCACCUGCAAAAUAAGAUAAAAGCUUCAAAAUGUUCCUCUUUAAUCAUGCCUCCAAACAGUUAAAGCAAAAACUGAACAUUUAAAACCCUGACCUGCAGAGCUACUGUUUUAAAGUCCAUUCAUUUAGCAAGGUGUAGCUCAUAACUGGCAAUCUGGCAACUGAGUGUAUUAAUCACAACUGCAAACACAAUGGUGUAUUGUAAUAAAUGCAUUAAGAGGUCAAAUGUUUGACUGCUUAAUGAAUGUUAAUUGGCUUGAAUGAUCUGAAGCUUUCCCUUGACUGAAUAGGUCAAACAUGGAGGGCCUUAAAUGUAUUUUUAAUAUCAAAUUUGGCAUCCCAAGAGCCCCCUUUCAUUUAAUUCUUAAAAGUAAAAUCUCAUCAGCUUAUUAAGAGCUUUGUAAAACAGAGAGAAUAUGUUGUAUGCACUAGAUUUUAAAGGGAGUUUUCAAGAAGUCACAAGCAAAGUGCAUCAGCAAGCCCAAGUUAUUUUCCUAUUUAUUUACUCUACACCUUCAAUGUGAAAAUAAGUGACAGAUGAACUGAUAAAUGAUAAACGAACUGACACCUUUAGUUAAAUCAUUUGUGAUUUGCUCAAUAGUUUCUGUUCGGAGAGUUGUUAGAAACCAGUUUACCAAAGAAGAGAACAUACUGUAUUAUCACCAGUUUCACCUUUGCUACUGUCACAUAAUAGUGUAAUCUGUCCGGAGGUGGAGAAAGUAAUAUGGCCACAUAUCUCAGGAGGUUUCAAAAUACUGUUCCUCUGAAAUCCCAGAAUUGGACUGAUUUCAUGGCGCGUCACCCCAGAUAUGCCAAUGGAGCGUGAAAUUGAGUCACUCUAUGUGAAAAAAGUGAAGAAAAAAUCUGUUCUCUUCCCAUUUCUCUGCAGAGAAGAGUGCCGACUUUUUUGCCCGUAUGCUGGCACCGCUUUGGUCUUUCAUUUUCAAAGCAACUGAGUGAAACAAGUCUGUACAUUCCAGACAAAAACAGUCAUUUCACAUAAUGCGAAUGACAUUUUGCUGCAAAUCGGCAACACGUGAGAGUUACAAGUGUUAGUCAUGAAACAUGUGGUGGGGAAAAGAUGUCUCAGUUGAUGGAUGAAUUUGAUAAUGGGGGUAACAUACUGCAACAGGUGUGAUCAAAAGUGCAUUUUGUUGCUGAACAAUAUGUUCUAAUGAACCAGAUGUCAUCAUUUUCACAGCCAGGUGUAUUGAAGUGCGUAAGAUACUUGUGGAAUUUACACUCUGUGCCUCAUACUGUUACACCCUUUUCUGCUCUUUGUGUGAGUUUCUCCCAUGAGGACUGUGUGUAUUUCAGCCCCAGUGGUGAGUAGAAAUGCUUUUGCAGCCCCACCAGAGCUUUGAUAUUCAACUUAUUCUCAACAUAGGCACAGUGUUGCCAAAGGUAUUUUGCGAGGCACUUCCAGUUCACUUCAUCUACAGACUGCUUGUAGCUAGUUUAAAGUUUAAAAGUGGAGGGAUUUUGCCACCUUCUUGUAAAAAUAUCAAACAGAUUUAAGAUGCAUUUUCUGAUACGUGAACUCCUGGCCACCAUACUUCCACUAGAUUUAUUGGUUGCAUUUUGACAUGUGGCUGAUCUCUCACCCUUCAUGGUAUAUCACUAUUGAUAUGAAGUGAUAGAAGUCCAAACUGUUAUUCACACAUGUUGAAGAGCCCAGAGCUGGCAUCAAGACCUCAGCCAACUAGCAAUACAUUCUUGACACUUCAUCUGUCAAAUGUCAGGCACUUGUCCAAAGCAUAAAAACACAAGUGAUGAGCUGCAAAAUGUACUUUAAUAUGACCUAUAAGAAGCACCUUCUGUAAUCAGGUUGCUUCCAAAUGGCUUUUCUAUCGCCCAUAGUGGUUUAUAAUGGAACUAAUGCAUGAUGUAAAUUGUUGUCAAAUAAGUAUGUUAAAAAAAAAAAAAGAUCCAGUUUCAAACAAAAACCUGCCAAAGUUGUUGAGCUGGGAGAAAGCAGCUCAUGCAGACUGUGCAGAAGGAGGAGGAGGAGGGAAAAAAGCUUUCUCGUACCAUUCAUUGUCCCUCAGCCUCAAAGAAAACAGAUGGUAUUGGUACUUUUGAAAAUGAAGGAGAGAUGGCAAAAAGCACAAAGUCAGAUACAUUAGUGAACAUACAAAGCAGUGGCACAGUAAUUGUUUUUGGCAGCGUAUUUUGGUACACUUUAAAAGUCUGAUCUUUUUCCUUUUUCGGGGCAUGACACAGCGAUUUAAUUAAGGAAAUAAACAAGGCAGCAAGUACAGAUCAAUGACUCAACAAAGAGGCAAAAUGGAGAUAACAAAUGCUUUCUCUGUUGGCACAGUGGUAGUUUGCGGAGAACAAUAUCCUGGUUUGAACUCUCACCCUGAACCGUAAGAUUAAGUUGUUUUGCACAGCAGAUUUUUGGUGUUUCUUAAGAGUGUGCUAUUUUCUGCUAAACAAAACUAUCACCAGGAAAAAUGGCAAUAGAGUGAGUGCUAGGUGAUAAUGUCUGAUACAGUAAAUUACAACAUUUUUAAAAAAAGUUCAUUCCCAUGCUUUAAUAUAUUCAUGCAUGACAACCACAUAGUUAAGCUUAGGUUAAAAAUGUGAUUAUGUCGACUCUAUUCUAUAAUCUCCACCUUUAUUUUUCAUUUUGCUACAUGAAGAACCUGCUUUGUACCAAAUACGAUAAAGCCACUAUCAUCACUACAAUUGUACAAGAUGUAGGGGCUUUAAGUUAAAGCAUAGAUUCUCUUUGAUUCUAGUCCAGGACUGUUCCACAGAUAUCAAUGCAAUCUCUCAAUUCAUCAUCCAGACUGCCAUGAUUAAUCAUGUCAAGGCUUUCACUUCGGUCAAGCAACAAUGACACACAGGACUCAAAGCAAUCUCUAUUCAUCAGGCCCAACCUUGCUUAACCAUUUCAGUCAAUUUUUUCUACAUUCUUUUCCAGUUUUUGGGGGGGAGAACACAUCUAUAACAUUCAUUCACUACAAUAGAAAUUUAAUAUUCUGAAAGAGUCACAGGCUGAACAGUUGACCGAGGUUCUUAGAUUAGAAGAAGAUGCCAUCAGGAAAUGGUCACUUGCACAUGCUGCAGAGAAGAUAUUCAGUAUGGUAAUCCAAGGGCAAAGGUCUACUGCCUCAACAGCCACUUUUGUCUGAGUAAUGGAGUGUCUACAAUUGACUGGGGGGACAGUCUGAUAGCACAGAACGUGGCAUGUAGCAAUAACAGGGGAAGUAAUCUAACAUCUGGCACUUUCAACAAUAAAGGUAGAACUCUUAUAAGAAUGCCUGUAGAAAUAAUGUUUGCAUGCUGAUUAGCAGGACUUAAUUAAAAACCUGGAAUUGCAUUGCCUAGCAGUAAUACAGUAUGGUAUAAAUCUCUGGCAUAUUUGGCUUUCUGUAGUUUCCUAUUGUUACGUUAUCAACCAUUAAUGGACAAAAUGUUUAAUUAAAAUUUCCUUUUGCUAUCUAAUCAUUCCUUCCUCUGUGUGAAUAAGACACAUCAUCUACAGCUGAGUUACAAAUUUGGAAUGAAACUUUCUCAACUGGUCAUAAUGACAAACUUGGAUUGAAUUAAAAACAAUAAUUAGUUUAGUAGCUGAUGUAUCAAUUUGGAAGCACUAAUGCGUUCUGUGUCCUUUGUUUUGCAUUCUGGUCGUGAUGCCCAGUUUUACCGUUUGAAUCACUGGCUGUGUCAUGAAGACUCUGUGUAAGAUGGUGUGACACGAAACGCUGGACUUCCCCAUGGUGACAGCAGCAUAAUUUAGGCCUCAGUGAUGAGAGAGGCUGAAAAGUGACAGCAUGACACAGCUCCGGAGAAAGAAAAUGGGGUGUCAUUUUGUUUCUUUGAGCAGCACCAAGUCGUUUUUGUCAUCAGGAUGUACCCCGAGAAGUGCGUUCAUUGCUGUUGCCAUCUCUCACCUGAUGAAGCAUGGCGGUCUGAACAACACAAUCACAGCAGUGGUGUCCUUGGCAUAUAAAGAAGAGCCAUUGAGGAUUAACUGUAGUGACCAAGCUGGGGCAGUACAGCAGCACUUGACCCGUUUGUCGUCAGAUAAAAGUGACUCUUCACUGUCACUUUACCUCCUGAAAUUGAGUGUAAGAGGAGCACAGUCGCCGCCGGCCUUUUUAUACCGACAGCGCCCAUCAAGUGGAUUUUAUUCAUCCAGGUUGACUGAGUGCAUAUAUGCAAACUCUUGUUUGCAAAGACUAGGAGUCUAACAAUAAACUAUUGUACUUCAAAACCUCCCAGUAUUAUUUGUAUUCCCAUUUAAACUGCAUUUAUACUUGGUGUGGCCUCAAUGAAAAAUGGUUUGAAAUCAGCCACAGCUGUCUUUCAUGUGUUAAAUUGUUUUUGCAUUGCCAUUUGCACUCUCCUCAAACAUAUGAGUGAGAUAUUUAGAAACUUGAUGGAAUAAUGACAUUGUUGUUUCCAAAAAACCUUGGCUUUUAUUUUACAGCGCAUGAUUAAAUGUACUUUGUUGAUGGCCAAAUAUAGUUGUGGAA